ACCGGAAUCAAACUCCUAGCCCUGGCGCCUAAGUGAUGCGUAUACGACGCAUGAUAUGGCGCCCCGGCCGUGGCCGGAACGGUCACCAGGGUGCGAGGUAGAAAUGCCUGCAUCUCCCGUAUUUGGAAAGGUGUUUAUGGCGAGUCAA
RNAcentral lists this non-coding RNA (148 nucleotides) under Brenneria sp. RNAcentral's name for it is "MoCo sequence". It matches the Rfam family "Molybdenum/Tungsten riboswitch aptamer (Moco RNA motif)". Lineage: Bacteria; Pseudomonadati; Pseudomonadota; Gammaproteobacteria; Enterobacterales; Pectobacteriaceae. The record is from RNAcentral.